RNAcentral lists this ribosomal RNA (468 nucleotides) under uncultured bacterium. Its description in RNAcentral is "partial 16S ribosomal RNA". It matches the Rfam family "Bacterial small subunit ribosomal RNA", at positions 28 to 507 of the family's 1533-position model. The record is from RNAcentral.
GAUGAACGCUGACAGAAUGCUUAACACAUGCGAGUCAACUUGAAUUUGGGUUUUUUAACUUAGAUUUGGGUGGCGGACGGGUGAGUAACGCGUAAAGAACUUGCCUCACAGCUAGGGACAACAUUUGGAAACGAAUGCUAAUACCUGAUAUUAUGAUUAUAAGGCAUCUUAGAAUUAUGAAAGCUAUAUGCGCUGUGAGAGAGCUUUGCGUCCCAUUAGCUAGUUGGAGAGGUAACGGCUCACCAAGGCGAUGAUGGGUAGCCGGCCUGAGAGGGUGAACGGCCACAAGGGGACUGGGACACGGCCCUUACUCCUACGGGAGGCAGCAGUGGGGAAUAUUGGACAAUGGACCAAGAGUCUGAUCCAGCAAUUCUGUGUGCACGAUGACGUUUUUCGGAAUGUAAAGUGCUUUCAGUUGGGAAGAAAAAAAUGACGGUACCAACAGAAGAAGUGACGGCUAAAUACGUG